GUCGUUUUAACGUGCGACGCCUGUACGUCGAACGCAUGUAGACCAAGCUUGCUUGGUGGAUCAGUGGCGAACGGGUGAGUAACACGUGAGCAACCUGCCCUGGACUCUGGGAUAAGCGCUGGAAACGGUGUCUAAUACUGGAUAUGAGGCGUGAUCGCAUGGUCAUGUUUGGAAAGAUUUUUCGGUCUGGGAUGGGCUCGCGGCCUAUCAGCUUGUUGGUGAGGUAAUGGCUCACCAAGGCGUCGACGGGUAGCCGGCCUGAGAGGGUGACCGGCCACACUGGGACUGAGACACGGCCCAGACUCCUACGGGAGGCAGCAGUGGGGAAUAUUGCACAAUGGGCGCAAGCCUGAUGCAGCAACGCCGCGUGAGGGAUGACGGCCUUCGGGUUGUAAACCUCUUUUAGCAGGGAAGAAGCGUGAGUGACGGUACCUGCAGAAAAAGCGCCGGCUAACUACGUGCCAGCAGCCGCGGUAAUACGUAGGGCGCAAGCGUUAUCCGGAAUUAUUGGGCGUAAAGAGCUCGUAGGCGGUUUGUCGCGUCUGCUGUGAAAUCCCGAGGCUCAACCUCGGGCCUGCAGUGGGUACGGGCAGACUAGAGUGCGGUAGGGGAGAUUGGAAUUCCUGGUGUAGCGGUGGAAUGCGCAGAUAUCAGGAGGAACACCGAUGGCGAAGGCAGAUCUCUGGGCCGUAACUGACGCUGAGGAGCGAAAGGGUGGGGAGCAAACAGGCUUAGAUACCCUGGUAGUCCACCCCGUAAACGUUGGGAACUAGUUGUGGGGACCAUUCCACGGUUUCCGU
This 800-nucleotide ribosomal RNA is filed under the name Microbacterium sp. JSM 2155005. RNAcentral's name for it is "bacterial SSU rRNA". It matches the Rfam family "Bacterial small subunit ribosomal RNA", at positions 32 to 844 of the family's 1533-position model. The record is from RNAcentral. Lineage: Bacteria; Bacillati; Actinomycetota; Actinomycetes; Micrococcales; Microbacteriaceae.